RNAcentral lists this ribosomal RNA (496 nucleotides) under uncultured bacterium. RNAcentral's name for it is "partial 16S ribosomal RNA". It matches the Rfam family "Bacterial small subunit ribosomal RNA", at positions 29 to 507 of the family's 1533-position model. The record is from RNAcentral.
AUGGACGCUGGCGGCGUGCCUCAUACCUGCAAGUCGCGCGCACAGACGAGGAGCUUGCUCCUCUGACGUUAGCGGCGGACGGGUGAGUAACACGUGGAUAACCUACCUAUAAGACUGGGAUAACUUCGGGAAACCGGAGCUAAUACCGGAUAAUAUAUUGAACCGCAUGGUUCAAUAGUGAAAGACGGUUUUGCUGUCACUUAUAGAUGGAUCCGCGCCGCAUUAGCUAGUUGGUAAGGUAACGGCUUACCAAGGCAACGAUGCGUAGCCGACCUGAGAGGGUGAUCGGCCACACUGGAACUGAGACACGGUCCAGACUCCUACGGGAGGCAGCAGUAGGGAAUCUUCCGCAAUGGGCGAAAGCCUGACGGAGCAACGCCGCGUGAGUGAUGAAGGUCUUCGGAUCGUAAAACUCUGUUAUUAGGGAAGAACAAAUGUGUAAGUAACUAUGCACGUCUUGACGGUACCUAAUCAGAAAGCCACGGCUAACUACGUG